This 475-nucleotide unclassified non-coding RNA is filed under the name Bombus terrestris (buff-tailed bumblebee). RNAcentral's name for it is "misc RNA ENSBTSG00005023591.1". Lineage: Eukaryota; Metazoa; Arthropoda; Insecta; Hymenoptera; Apidae. The record is from RNAcentral.
UUAAAUGGACGUAGUUACACACUAUAUAUGUAUGCGUAUGCAGUAGUAUUUGCAAUUUAAAACAUACCUACAUAUAAAUAGACGGAAAACACAAUAGUGCGACUAGUGUUGAAAGCGCGUAAUACUAACGUAAAUAUAUGUAAAUACAUAGAUAUUUUGGAAGCUCGAGGUUGACAACCUCGUCGCUUGAAACACAAUAUGUAACAAAGUUUCGUUCCUUUCGUACAUAAUAUUUUAGGCCUUACAUAGGAAUCUGUAUUAUCAGAUUAUCACCAUGAUGUUAGAAUUGGAACGUUUUAAUGCUACCAACGAUACGUAUCAUCCAUCUCUGUAUCAAAGGCAAGGGCUCCAAAUCGGGCUGCAAAUUUCUGUCUAAGCUGAUCAUCGCGUGCAAUAUGUCUACCAGAUGCUACAGGUGCUAAGUGAAUUCGUGGACAGCCAUUUGUUCUGGACAUAAAAGAACAUAAUGAUAAAU